GACGAACCGUGCGAACGUUGUUCGGAAUCACUGGGCUUAAAGGGCGCGUAGGCGGGCUGUCAAGUCUGGGGUGAAAUCCCACGGCUCAACCGUGGAACUGCCUCAGAUACUGACGGCCUCGAGGAAGGUAGGGGCGUGCGGAACUGUGAGUGGAGCGGUGAAAUGCGUUGAUAUUCACAGGAACUCCGGUGGCGAAAGCGGCGCGCUGGACCUUUUCUGACGCUGAGGCGCGAAAGCUAGGGGAGCAAACGGG
Molecule: ribosomal RNA, 253 nt
Filed under: uncultured bacterium
Lineage: Bacteria
Description: partial 16S ribosomal RNA
Rfam family: Bacterial small subunit ribosomal RNA
Source: RNAcentral